AUUGAACGCUGGCGGCAUGCCUUACACAUGCAAGUCGAACGGUAACAGGUCUUCGGAUGCUGACGAGUGGCGAACGGGUGAGUAAUACAUCGGAACGUGCCUAGUAGUGGGGGAUAACUACUCGAAAGAGUGGCUAAUACCGCAUGAGAUCUACGGAUGAAAGCAGGGGAUCGCAAGACCUUGUGCUACUAGAGCGGCCGAUGGCAGAUUAGGUAGUUGGUGGGAUAAAAGCUUACCAAGCCGACGAUCUGUAGCUGGUCUGAGAGGACGAUCAGCCACACUGGACUGCGAAACGGCCCAGACUCCUACGGGAGGCAGCAGUGGGGAAUUUUGGACAAUGGGAGCAAGCCUGAUCCAGCAAUGCCGCGUGCAGGAUGAAGGCCUUCGGGUUGUAAACUGCUUUUGUACGGAACGAAAAGCCCCGGGUUAAUACCCUGGGGUCAUGACGGUACCGUAAGAAUAAGCACCGGCUAACUACGUGCCAGCCGCCGCGGUAA
RNAcentral lists this ribosomal RNA (497 nucleotides) under uncultured bacterium. Its description in RNAcentral is "partial 16S ribosomal RNA". It matches the Rfam family "Bacterial small subunit ribosomal RNA", at positions 30 to 523 of the family's 1533-position model. The record is from RNAcentral.